Molecule: long non-coding RNA, 3522 nt
Organism: Oncorhynchus mykiss (rainbow trout)
Lineage: Eukaryota; Metazoa; Chordata; Actinopteri; Salmoniformes; Salmonidae
Source: Ensembl
AUGAAGCGUGGGUUGUUUACAUUAGGGACCAAUGUGACACAAUCAACUAAAAUGUAUACUGUUAUAAAUGACAGCCGACAACACCUAGCAUGCAUUUACAAAAUACUUUGUCAAUACCAAGGAGCUGCAGGUAGCGAGGCAUCAAAGAGACCAACAGUAACUCACUCCACACUUCCAUCCUCCUUCGGCUGCCAGUUGACAAUGUUACACUUGGCAGUCACGUCCAAAUUCUCAUUGAAAUAUACUUCCUCACCCUCCUUUGUCUUGAAACACUUUUUUCAUAAGCUUGAGAAUACUACCACCACUAAUACCACAACCACUAGGCCUACUACCACUACUACUACAACUACUACCACGAGUACAACUACCACCACUAAUACAACUACCACAAGGCCUACUACCACUACUACUACAACUACUACCACGAGUACCACAACCACGACUACUACUACUACAACUACUACUACAACUACUACCACGAGUACUACUACCACCACUAAUACCACUACCACUACUACUACAACUACUACCACGAGUACUACUACCACGACUACUACUACUACCACUACUACUACAACUACUACCACGAGUACUACUACUACCACUAAUACCACUACCACUACUACUACAACUACUACCACGAGUACCACUACCACCACUAAUACCACUACCACAAGGCCAACAACUUGUACUACUACCACUAGGUCUACUACCAAUAGGCCUACUAACACUAAUACUACUACUACUACCACUAAGUCUACUAUCACUACUACUAAUACUACUACCACCACUAGACCUACUACCACUACUACUACUACCACUACUAAUCCUUCCACUACUACUACUUCCACUAGGGAUACUACCACUAGGCCUACUACCACCACUAGUCUUACAACUACCACCAAUAGUACCACUACUACUACUGCUAGGCCUACUACCACUACUACUACUACUACUACUACUACUACUACUACUACUACUACUACUACUACUACUACCACUACUAUGACUAAUACUACUGCUAGUGUUACCACUAGUACUACUACUACUGCUAAGCCUACUACCACUACGACUACUACUACUACUACUACUACUACUACUACUACUACUACUACUACCACUAGUACUACUACUAAUACUACUUCUAGGCUUAGUACAACUACUACCACUACUACUAGUACUACUACUACUACUAGGGCUACUACCACUACUACUACUUCUACCACUACUACUACUACUACCACUACCACUACUACUACUACUACUACUACUACUACUACUACAAUUACUACUACUAGGCCAACUACCACAACUACUACUACUACCACUAAUACUACUACUACUACCGCCACUACUACUACUACUACUACCACUACUACUACCACUACCACUACUAGGCCUACUUCCACUACUACUAUUUCUACUACUACUACUACUACUACUACCAUGACUGCUACUACUAAGGCUACUACCACUACUACUACUACUACUACCACUAAUACUACUACUACCGCUAUGGCUACUAACACUACUACUACUACUACCACUAGGCCUAAGACCUCUACUACCACUACUACCAUUAGGGCUACUACCACUACUACUACUACCACUAAGCCAACUACUAUGUCUACAACUACUACCACUACUACUACUACUUCUACUACCACUACUACUACUAAUAUCACUAGGGAUCAUACCACUACUACUAUUACCACUACUACUACUACUUCUACUACCACUACUACUACUAAUAUCACUAGGGCUACUACCACUACUACUACUACUACCACUACUACUACUACUACUACUACUACCACCACUACUACCACAAGGACUACUACCACUACUACCAGUACUACCACUACUACUACUACUACUACCACUAGUAAAACAACCACUACUACUACGUCUACCACAACUACAACUACUACAACUACUACUACCACUACUGCUAUUACUACCACUAGUACUACAGCCACUUCUACUACAACUACUUCCACUACUACCACUACUAAUACUACUACCACUACUAGCAUUAGUUCUACUACCAAUACUACUACUACCGCGAUGGCUACUAACACUACUACUACUACUACCACUAGGCCUAAGACCUCUACUACCACUACUACCAUUAGGGCUACUACCACUACUACUACUACCACUAAGCCAACUACUACCACUACAACUACUACCACUACUACUACUACCACUACUACUACUACUUCUACUACCACUACUACUACUAAUAUCACUAGGGAUCAUACCACUACUACUAUUACCACUACUACUACUACUUCUACUACCACUACUACUACUAAUAUCACUAGGGCUACUACCACUACUACUACUACUACCACUACUACUACUACUACUACUACUACCACUACUACUACCACAAGGACUACUACCACUACUACCAGUACUACCACUAGUACUACUACUACUACCACUAGUAAAACGACCACUACUACUACGUCUACCACAACUACAACUACUACAACUACUACUACCACUACUACUAUUACUACCACUAGUACUACAGACACUACUACUACAACUACUUCCACUACUACCACUACUAAUACUACUACCACUACUAGCAUUAGUUCUACUACCAAUACUACUACUACUACCACUACUACUACCAUGAGGACUACUACCACUACUACCAUUUCUACCACUACUACUACUACUACUACCACUAAUACAACUACCUAUACUACUACUACUACUGCUACUAGGUAUACUACCACUACUACUACUACUACGACCACUAGGCCUACGACCACUACGACUACCACUACUCCUACCACUACUACUACUACUACUACCACUAGGCCUACUAACACUAAUACUACUACCUCUACCACUACGACCACUAGGCCUACGACCACUACUACUACUACUACUACUACUACUACUAGGCCUACUACCACUACUACUACCACUACUACCACUACUACCACUAGGCCUACUACCACUAAUACUACUACUACUUCUACUACUACUUCUACUACUACCACUAGGACUACUACCACUAGGACUAUUACCGCUACCACUACUACCACUACUACUACUACCACUCGGCCUACUAUCACUACUACUACUACUACCACUACAACUACUUCUACUACCACUACGACCACUAGGCCUACAACCCCUACUACGACCACUAGGCCUACUACCACUACUACUACCACUAGGCCUACUACCACUACUACUACCACUAGGCCUACUACCACUACUAAUAUCACUAGGCCUACUACCACUACUACUAUCGCUAUGCCUACUACCACUAUAACUACUUUUUCUACCACUACUACCACUAGGCCUACUACGCCUACUACUACUACCACUACUACCACUACUACCAUUAGGCCUACUACCACUACUACUACUACCACUGCUACUCCUCCUCCUCUUCCUUCUCCCCCUCCCAUGAAUACAUAUUCUUUGACUGUCUCCAUAAGAGAACCCUAUUUUACACCGCUGCUACUCUCUGUUGUUAUCAUCUAUGCAUAG